GAUGAACUCUGGCGGCGUGCCUAAUACAUGCAAGUCGAGCGAACAGACGAGGAGCUUGCUCCUCUGACGUUAGCGGCGGACGGGUGAGUAACACGUGGAUAACCUACCUAUAAGACUGGGAUAACUUCGGGAAACCGGAGCUAAUACCGGAUAAUAUAUUGAACCGCAUGGUUCAAUAGUGAAAGACGGUUUUGCUGUCACUUAUAGAUGGAUCCGCGCCGCAUUAGCUAGUUGGUAAGGUAACGGCUUACCAAGGCGACGAUGCGUAGCCGACCUGAGAGGGUGAUCGGCCACACUGGAACUGAGACACGGUCCAGACUCCUACGGGAGGCAGCAGUAGGGAAUCUUCCGCAAUGGGCGAAAGCCUGACGGAGCAACGCCGCGUGAGUGAUGAAGGUCUUCGGAUCGUAAAACUCUGUUAUUAGGGAAGAACAAAUGUGUAAGUAACUAUGCACGUCUUGACGGUACCUAAUCAGAAAGCCACGGCUAACUACGUG
Molecule: ribosomal RNA, 497 nt
Filed under: uncultured bacterium
Lineage: Bacteria
Description: partial 16S ribosomal RNA
Rfam family: Bacterial small subunit ribosomal RNA
Source: RNAcentral